Molecule: small nuclear RNA, 157 nt
Organism: Sapajus apella (tufted capuchin)
Lineage: Eukaryota; Metazoa; Chordata; Mammalia; Primates; Cebidae
Product: U1 spliceosomal RNA
Exons: 1
Source: RefSeq, a predicted model, not a curated record
GUCCCUCUGGAGAGAUACCAGGAUCCCGAAGGUGAUUUUUCCAGGGUGAGGCUUAUCUAUUUUACUCCAGAGAUGCUGCCCCUGUGAUUUCUUCCAAUGUAGGAAACUCAACUGCAUAAUUUGUGGUAGUGAGAGACUGCAUUUGUGCCCUCCCUGG